This 71-nucleotide non-coding RNA is filed under the name Effusibacillus lacus. The record is from RNAcentral. Lineage: Bacteria; Bacillati; Bacillota; Bacilli; Caryophanales; Alicyclobacillaceae.
AACCGCCGUAUACCGAACGGUACGUACGGUGGUGUGAGAGGACGGGGGCUAGCCACCCCCUCCUACUCUAU